This is a long non-coding RNA of Panicum virgatum (switchgrass), 517 nucleotides long. RefSeq lists it as uncharacterized. The record is from RefSeq and is a predicted model, not a curated record. The transcript has 2 exons. Lineage: Eukaryota; Viridiplantae; Streptophyta; Magnoliopsida; Poales; Poaceae.
CCCAUCGUCCUCCCUCGCUGGAGCGCCGCCGCACGCUGCCAUCACCGCCGCCGAGGUGCUGCUACCGCCGCCGACGCCUCUCCGGUCGCCCCCAACCCCAACCAAGCCCACCUACAGGUACGAGGGUAGAUCAAUUGAAGGACGAUUGGAACAUGAAGAUGGAGAAAACUCCAAAAGAUGGUGUGUUAGUUUCUAUCUAGAAGGUGGUGGAUUAUCUAUCAUGAAGCUCCAACCUACUAAUUUAUAGUGAUACUUUACUCCCAGGCAAGCCCCGGAGCAUAACCUAUUAUUUUAACUUAUGAAAUGUUAUAUGAUUACUUGAUUAUGCAUUAAGUUUCCAAGCGUUGAAUGAAACCCUAGUUGCAUGAUCCCUAGGUUCCAUUGGUCGAAAUACUAGUAUGUGUAGGUCGAUAGCCUUGCCAUGCUAAAAAUAGGAAUCGGUAGAAGUCGAGUAAUUCCCUGUUACUCGCGAGAUAUAGGAUGUCUCUAUGAUUUGAUUAUAUGGAAUAUUGGAGUA